AAGGGUUGUUCGAGACUAGAACGUUGAUAGGCAGGGUGUGUAAGUGCUGUGAGGCAUUGAGCUAACCUGUACUAAUUGCCCGUGAGGCUUAACCAU
Molecule: ribosomal RNA, 96 nt
Filed under: Vibrio vulnificus
Lineage: Bacteria; Pseudomonadati; Pseudomonadota; Gammaproteobacteria; Vibrionales; Vibrionaceae
Description: partial 23S ribosomal RNA
Rfam family: Bacterial large subunit ribosomal RNA
Source: RNAcentral